CCUACGGGUGGCAGCAGUGAGGAAUAUUGGUCAAUGGGCGCGAGCCUGAACCAGCCAAGUAGCGUGAAGGAUGACUGCCCUACGGGUUGUACACUUCUUUUGUCAGGGAGCAAUUGGGUCCACGCGUGGGCUUAGCGAGAGUACCUGAAGAAAAAGCAUCGGCUAACUUCGUGCCCGCAGCCGGGGUAAUACGGAGGAUGCGAGCGUUAUCCGGAUUUAUUGGGUUUAAAGGGUGCGUAGGCGGAAUAUUAAGUCAGCGGUAAAAAUUCGGGUCUCAACCCCGUCGUGCCGUUGAAACUGAUGUCCUUGAGUGGGCGAGAAGAAUGCGGAAUGCGUGGUGUAGCGGUGAAAUGCAUAGAUAUCACGCAGAACUCCGAUUGCGAAGGCAGCAUACCGGCGCCCAACUGACGCUGAAGCACGAAAGCGUGGGUAUCGAACAGGAUUAGAUACCCGGGUAGUC
Molecule: ribosomal RNA, 460 nt
Filed under: uncultured bacterium
Lineage: Bacteria
Description: partial 16S ribosomal RNA
Rfam family: Bacterial small subunit ribosomal RNA
Source: RNAcentral